This 327-nucleotide ribosomal RNA is filed under the name Triticum aestivum (bread wheat). RNAcentral describes it as "partial small subunit ribosomal RNA". Lineage: Eukaryota; Viridiplantae; Streptophyta; Magnoliopsida; Poales; Poaceae. The record is from RNAcentral.
AUGGCCACCCAGGGACACAGCGCCGGCGGCAGGAGCUUCGUCCUCGACGCCAAUCUUCCACCACCACCCCGACGCCCUCGCCCCGCACGCCGUGUCGAACCGCGUCGCCAUCCCCGUCAUCGACCUCUCCGGCCGCCGCGCGGAGGGAGGCGGCCGAGACCGUGGGCCUCUUCCAGGUGGUGGCGCACGGCGGCCAUGGCGGGGAUGCUGGCGGCGGUGCGGCGGUUCCACGAGGAGCCGGUGGAGGCCAAGGCGCGCUACUACUCGCGGGACGCGGGCAGGAGCGUCCGCUACAACUGUGUGCUUCUUCCGCGCCAAGGACGGUGA